UGGAAGACCUUUCCUACAAAAAGGAGGAAGGGGAGGUGGCAACUGCAGUCCAGACCGAGCCUAUCCCCAGGGUGUGUGGAGAUCCACCCCCACUGGAAAGGCCAGAUGUCAUCCUGCCUAUCCUGAAGGAUGACAGAUCCUACAUGCUCUGUGGAUAUUGGGCUGAUGGGUCUGAAACACCAGUGCAGGUUUCUGCUGAGCCUUGGCACCUUACAACCCAGCAGCCCAUCUGCUGUGCUGAGGCCAUUGUGGUAGAAGAUGCCUCAAGCCAAAAGGAGGAAGGAGAGGUGGCAUCUCCAGACCUGGCCAAGGCAAACCUCAGGGUGUGUGAAGACCCACCCCCACUGAAAGGGCCAGAUGUCAUCAUGCCUAUCCUCAAGGAUGAUGGGUCCUACAUGCUCUGUGGAUUUUGGGCAGAUGAUGAUGCUGAAGCUCCAAUCUGGGCCUGUGUUGGGGCCUGGCAUCCUACAAUCCAGCAGCCCAUCUGCUGUACUGAGGCCAUUGUGGGUGAGUCCUUUGAUGGGAAUCUUGCUGAGACCUGCUGAACCUCCUGAGACCAUCCCAAUAACCCUGACCUGCUUGCUGUAACCCCCCAGGAAAGGAGGUGAUGGGUAGGCAAUCACAUGGCUACAUCUGUAUGGACAAAUGCUGAAUACUGGGUGGGGCUACAGCACACAUGUCAUGUAGGCUUGUGUUUCUUAACCUGAGAGUUCCUGGGAGGGAGUUCUCCUUUGGUUGGCAAAGACUUGCCAUUGGAAGCAUGUGCUCCUGGGUGUGACACUCUUUUUAGCAAGGUAAUGCCACAACUAGAUGGCAUGGAUGUCUCUAAGUUGUGUGAUGGUGGGCAGUACCUGAGCUUUACUGUGCCAUCGCAUUUGCAUAUCAUCCCAGUUACCACAUCCGGCCCCAUUUUUACUCUCUGCAGUGGAAAACCCCUACCACCAAAAGGAGGAAGUGGAGUUGGCAUCUACAGACCAGGCCAAGGCUAUCCCCAUGUAAACGUUCAGAUGGGUUCAGGGUGUUUCAGCAUGGCCAUCUGGAGAUUGCACACAGGAAGGAGAGAAUGUGCCCCAAGGGCCAUUUAUACCAUUCAAAACUUCUCCCACAGAGACUCUGAGAGCACCUCUCCAAACCUCCAUGUGCUGUUGAGGUCCCCAAAGACUGUCCAGUCAACUCCCCCCAACAUCCACUGAACACCUGCAUAGUUACCUUGGGAACCAGUCAGCAGUCCAAGUCAUUUCUAAUACCGCUGCUUCUGUGUGGCCUCCAUUAAAGUGAGAGGCCUCUCCCUCAGCCCCUCUGCUCGUCCCUAAUCAGCAUCCCUGUGUUACAUUCAUAAAGACAGGGAUUCCAAUGCCCGGAUGCAAGCUACAGUGCUGAUGUAAUUAGGACACAUCCUGAAGUGGUCUGGGGUGCUAAAGUGCUUUAGCUGGGUGGUAACAUUCCACAACAAGGUGAUUCUGUUUCCUGCAACUAGACAACUGGCUUCUGGCCAGCUUGUCCUUCUCUGUCCCCAGGGGGUUUUGAGAGUGGGUACCAGAGCCC
Molecule: long non-coding RNA, 1545 nt
Filed under: Oryctolagus cuniculus (rabbit)
Lineage: Eukaryota; Metazoa; Chordata; Mammalia; Lagomorpha; Leporidae
Description: lncRNA (ENSOCUG00000035069.1)
Source: RNAcentral